ACCAAUCAGCCACGCACGCAAUUACAACAGACAAGACACGUGUUAUGACUGCAGGAGGUCAUCCGAAGGGAUCAAUACCGAACUUGCAACUAGAAACAAGAAGCUGAUAGCUGCCCACCUGGAGAAGGGGAGGUACAAGUUAUGAGUGUUCGGUCUCGCAAGUAGGUGACAGGCGGCGACCACCCGAUAAGCUAUAAAUUAACUGCGGGGAGAAGGGACGCCGACGCAUUUUCGGAGCACCGCCAAAAAAGACACACCCUCAUCCUAUCCUUUUCCAUACAUUCAUCCACCUAUAAAAGUCCAUGUGUGACCACGGGGAGGAGCCUUCUGUAACCGGAGUUCACACUGACGGGGCGAAGCUCUGUCUGUCCGACAACUAUCUUUAUGCAAUUUCGGACUUAGUUCUCAAGACAUUCCGAGAUUCUUAGUUUCAUUUAACUUCUGACUUAGAAUAACUCUGUAAAAAGUCUUUUGUAAAUUUUAUCUGAGAAUAAACGGAAACUCUUUAUUAAACUUAUAAAUUGCGAGUCACGCGGCUUAUUCAAACUUCUCGCCCUGAGAACGAGUCAACGUUAGCUGUCUGCCGUCACGAAGCGAAGCCGAGCCGAGACCCGAACAUCUUCACGACAAACUACCAGUAAUUCGAACAUUUUCGAAUUGAUGCAGGGUCGCCCGAUGGCUCUUACCGCAAUGCCCCCUGAAGUUGGCAUUUGAGCAACCCUCCGAAUAAUCCUGACCCCAGCACUGGACCUGAAAAAUGCGAAUUGGACAAAAUAAAUCGAUAAACAUGAUGAUUGGUCAAUACUUAGGUACUUAUGCUAAUAACUAUAAAGACUCAACGCGAUUGGUUGAAUUAGUGCCAAAAUUUAAAACUGUUCAAAAAGAGUUAAAAUGUAUAUAGUAAAUCAAUAAAAACGAAUUAUAUGCAUGACUAUUAAUUUGAGUAUCUAAAAAAGAUAAAAUGAAAUAAUAUAAUACGAUGUUAGAAAAUAUUAAAAUUAUGUAUGUACUUUUGAAUUUAUAAUCUGCAAAUCAUUAUUUAUGCACAAAUACAAAAUAUCAUGAGUAUUAUUACUAAUAUAUUGAAAAUUUACCUACCGAAUAUAAACAAUAUUUGCUUCUAUUUUGGUUUUAUUCAUUUCUAAUCUGCUGCUUUCAGCACUGGCAGGAUGAAAUUUGCACAGUCACUGCAACAGUAAUCUGAUUUGAAAUUUAAUGUGUUAAGUAUACACAUUUGUAACUGAAAAAUCGUUGCCCGCAAUAUAAGCGAUACCUAUAUAUAAGCGCUAAUAUUACUAUAUAUAGAUUUUCGAGUAUACUCGCGGAUUUUAGGAUUUUGAUUUUUGGCACUCUCAGCGAAUAUACGUAUAUCAUAUAAUUAGCGACUGAUACGGCAGAUUUUUUUUCAUAUAUUAUCGUUUGGAAUAAAAACACACUGAGAGAAAAAUCAUGGACUCGUUGCUGCGGUGAGUCCCCUGUGACGUAAGCCGUAAUCACGUGAUCACGUGAUUGAAUAUAAGCGCGUAAUUCAAAUUUUUAUUAAUAAAAUCGAGUAUAUUUUAUGUAUAUCUUAUAAAAUGAUUUAGAGAAAG
Nasonia vitripennis (jewel wasp) is the source of this 1592-nucleotide long non-coding RNA. RefSeq lists it as uncharacterized. NCBI's taxonomy places the organism in Eukaryota, Metazoa, Arthropoda, Insecta, Hymenoptera, Pteromalidae. The transcript is spliced from 2 exons. The record is from RefSeq and is a predicted model, not a curated record.